GCUCAACCGGGGAGGGUCAUUGGAAACUGGGAAACUUGAGUGCAGAAGAGGAGAGUGGAAUUCCACGUGUAGCGGUGAAAUGCGUAGAGAUGUGGAGGAACACCAGUGGCGAAGGCGACUCUCUGGUCUGUAACUGACGCUGAGGAGCGAAAGCGUGGGGAGCGAACAGGAUUAGAUACCCUGGUAGUCCACGCCGUAAACGAUGAGUGCUAAGUGUUAGGGGGUUUCCGCCCCUUAGUGCUGCAGCUAACGCAUUAAGCACUCCGCCUGGGGAGUACGGUCGCAAGACUGAAACUCAAAGGAAUUGACGGGGGCCCGCACAAGCGGUGGAGCAUGUGGUUUAAUUCGAAGCAACGCGAAGAACCUUACCAGGUCUUGACAUCCUCUGACAACCCUAGAGAUAGGGCUUUCCCUUCGGGGACAGAGUGACAGGUGGUGCAUGGUUGUCGUCAGCUCGUGUCGUGAGAUGUUGGGUUAAGUCCCGCAACGAGCGCAACCCUUGAUCUUAGUUGCCAGCAUUUAGUUGGGCACUCUAAGGUGACUGCCGGUGACAAACCGGAGGAAGGUGGGGAUGACGUCAAAUCAUCAUGCCCCUUAUGACCUGAGCUACACACGUGCUACAAUGGACAGAACAAAG
RNAcentral lists this ribosomal RNA (637 nucleotides) under uncultured bacterium. RNAcentral's name for it is "bacterial SSU rRNA". It matches the Rfam family "Bacterial small subunit ribosomal RNA", at positions 607 to 1244 of the family's 1533-position model. The record is from RNAcentral.